RNAcentral lists this transfer RNA (71 nucleotides) under Hyaloperonospora arabidopsidis Emoy2. RNAcentral's name for it is "Hyaloperonospora arabidopsidis tRNA-Glu for anticodon UUC". It matches the Rfam family "tRNA". From Rfam's summary of the family: Transfer RNA (tRNA) molecules are approximately 80 nucleotides in length. Their secondary structure includes four short double-helical elements and three loops (D, anti-codon, and T loops). Further hydrogen bonds mediate the characteristic L-shaped molecular structure. tRNAs have two regions of fundamental functional importance: the anti-codon, which is responsible for specific mRNA codon recognition, and the 3' end, to which the tRNAs corresponding amino acid is attached (by aminoacyl-tRNA synthetases). tRNAs cope with the degeneracy of the genetic code in two manners: having more than one tRNA (with a specific anti-codon) for a particular amino acid; and 'wobble' base-pairing, i.e. permitting non-standard base-pairing at the 3rd anti-codon position. Lineage: Eukaryota; Oomycota; Peronosporomycetes; Peronosporales; Peronosporaceae. The record is from Rfam by way of RNAcentral.
GACUUCUUCGUCUAGGGGCAGGACAUCGCUUUUUCAUAGCGAGAACGUCGGUUCGAUUCCGACAGAAGUCA